CUCUAUGGCGGAUCGCGCGGGGGACCCUCGGGUCUGCCGGUUCCAUCUCCCGGCUCGUCAACCCUGCGCGGUCCGCCACCCUU
Molecule: non-coding RNA, 83 nt
Filed under: Pseudomonas nitroreducens
Lineage: Bacteria; Pseudomonadati; Pseudomonadota; Gammaproteobacteria; Pseudomonadales; Pseudomonadaceae
Source: RNAcentral